CCCACUUCAGGCAGCUUAAUCAAUAGCUUAUCUCACAGGUGGUGCCUGAUGACCAGCACAGAGCUCUCUAUUCGACACACUCGUUUAAGAUUUUGUUCAAGGAAGGGGGAUGUGGUACCUUUGUACCACUCUUCUUCAACCUGCUGUCUUCAGUGAGGCAAUACAAUCAAUACACGAAUGCAGGUCCUCGAGUCGAUCCAUUGCAGGCAGCACAAACUCCUGUCGAUGAAAUGAUGAGACAUGCAUAUGUGGACCCACAUGAUCCGACCAAAAUCUUCUUACAACAGCCAUCGACAGAGUCCCAGUUAAGGCGGCGCACCUACCAGUCCCAACCAGCUGAAAAUGCAAUGUGAAGUUAGUUGAACGACCUCAUGCAAAUAGUUUUAUUGGUUGGUUGGUUGGUACUUUGUUUAAGUGAGGGAGUUGAUGAUGGAACGAGUGAAUACUUGUACAGUUGAAGGAUGGACCGUUGAAUUUAAAGUUACGGUUAGACCCAAUUGUUAUCUACUUAAGCUUCUACUUAACUCUUCCUGUCUGUUAUAUUGCCUGGGGCCGGAUGAAAGGAUUUACGUAAAGAAUUUGUUCAACUUAAAUAUAAUAAUAGAAGUGUAUCCUGUUCUUAUGA
Long non-coding RNA from Cucurbita moschata (crookneck pumpkin), 625 nucleotides. RefSeq lists it as uncharacterized. NCBI's taxonomy places the organism in Eukaryota, Viridiplantae, Streptophyta, Magnoliopsida, Cucurbitales, Cucurbitaceae. The transcript is spliced from 2 exons. The record is from RefSeq and is a predicted model, not a curated record.